UUUAAAAGAAGGUUUUUUUUGAAAAAGGUUUCUUUGACCAUUAGGGCCACGGGAGGAUGGAAAUGGACUCCUUCACUGUGGGUGCAUGGGUCUAGAUUCAGUGAGCACCCCGAGAACAUCACAAACAGUCAGAGGCCCCGUAACGCACAUCUAGCACUGGCCCUGGUACACACACUCUCAACAUUUUUAGAUAGUUCAGUUUGGCUGACGAUUUGGUAGCUAGAGCCUACUGAAUUUAUUAAACAUUGGACAUUUUCCUACUUUAAAAAAUUCUUGAAAUAAUUUACAGGUUAAACUUGGUAUGAUGUUUCAAAGGGCUAAAAUCUACUCUCUGAAGGAAGGAGAAGACUUUAGGGGUUUCAGGCAUUGCAUAGACUCUGGUUUCUUUCUGUCUUUUUUUUUUUUUUUUUUAAGAUUUUUAUUUAUUUAUUCAUGAGAAACACAGAGCGAGAGGCAGAGACACAGGCAAAGGGAGAAGCAGGCUCCAUGCAGGGAACCUGAUGAGGGAUUCGAUCCUGGGACUCCAGAAUCAUGCCCUUGGCUGGAGGCAGGUGCUAAACCGCUGAGCCACCCAGGGAUCCCCCUAGACUCUGGUUUCUAGAAGCAAAGGCAAACAAAGACAUUGGUUUAUAGAAAUCUCGCUUUCUGACAACUCCCAAUAUGCACAUUUAUUCACAGAGAUAAUUAGUAUGUGAAAAAUAUCUUCUUUUUUACAAUUAGAUUUAAGCAAGAAUUUAUGGAGUCCUGUGUGUAGAGCACACUACAAAGGUGCUGUUUAGAAAUAGAAUAUUUAAUCAGAUCCUCCUAAAUUUCUUUCCUCCUUGCAGAUCUCCUUUUUCAACCUGCUUUGUAAAAGACACCUGGAGGAUUUACAACUUGACUUUCUAUGAGGGCAGAAGGCGUAACAUGUAUGCAUUUGUGAGCCUCCUGAAACACACGUGGGAAAAGAUAUUUUCACCUCUCCAGGAGAGGGAACUAGAGAUGUUCUGCAACUCUGCAAGCAAGUAAACCAGCCCAAGACCCAAGACAGCUGAGGUAUGGGCCAGUGUAGACCUAAGCAGUCCCAAAUAAAACUUACAUUUGUAUUUAGCUGGUUAAUGAUAUUGUGAUAUAUCACACUUUUAGAGGUACUUUCUUUCUUUUUAAAAGAGUUUAUUCAUUCAUUUGACAGAGGAGAGAAAGCACAAGCAGAUGGAGCAGCAGGCAGGGGGAGAGGGAAAAGCAGGCUCCCUGCUCUGUAAAGUAGGGCUUGAUCCAGGACCCCGGGAUCAUGACCUGAGCUGAAGGCAGAUGCUUAACCGACUGAGCCACCCAGGCGUCCCUUUUAGUUACUUUAGUUGCCUAUUUGUAGUUCAGAUUUUCAGUAAGCUUUGCUUGUAAUGUUGUCUAAAAUGUGCAUUAAAUUUCACAGAAUCCUCAUUAUAUUUUUGUACCUUCAGCUUAAGAGACUCAGAACGAAUGGGCUAUAACUAAGUUAAGUCGGGGGGGAGGGGGGCGGGAAUCCCAACAACCCAUGUGGUCCUAAACUCUGGUCAGAAUUUCCCUUCUUCCUUUCUUUCUUGGUUCAUGCCAAAUCCAGUUAAAGACACCCAUUUCCCAGCCUCCCUAGUGGUUAUGAAGGCCAUUUAACAUGCUUUGUCCAAUGAGACAUAAGUGGAAGCCGUCUUCUUUGGCUGAUAUAGAUGCCACUUUGUCACUUCCUUCUUUUCUCUACCUGAUAAUGCAGAUAUGAUGGCUAAAGCUUUGGCAAUCAUUUUGUGACCAUGAGCAAAUGGACAAGAAAUCCAGAGGUCUCAGUAGCACUGAUCUGUGCACCACUGAACCAAUACUAGAAACUAUUUUAUCAGAACAACUUCUACUUGAGUAAAUAUAAGCUUCUAUUUUGUCUAAUCUACUCUUUAAUUAGAUUUUCUCCUAGUGAAAGUCGACUGCAAACCAGUUAAUGUGAGAGUUAAUCUUAACAAUAUUAAAUAGGAUUUUUCAAAAGUUGUUAGGCAUAUUAUUGACUACCCAGGUAAAGCUUCACUGUAAAUAUCUAUUACUGAUGUCAGUAAAUUAUGCCAUAAGAUCCAAAACAUCCCCGCCCCUCCCCACUUCUCCCCAUGCCCUGCAACUUGAAAUCCUUGCCAAAAUCCAGUGAGUUCCCCUCCUUACCUUUUGCCUCUUCCAAAUCCCACCCACCUUAA
This 2186-nucleotide long non-coding RNA is filed under the name Canis lupus familiaris (dog). RNAcentral's name for it is "lncRNA (ENSCAFG00040005223.1)". Lineage: Eukaryota; Metazoa; Chordata; Mammalia; Carnivora; Canidae. The record is from RNAcentral.